This 498-nucleotide ribosomal RNA is filed under the name uncultured bacterium. Its description in RNAcentral is "bacterial SSU rRNA". It matches the Rfam family "Bacterial small subunit ribosomal RNA", at positions 899 to 1397 of the family's 1533-position model. The record is from RNAcentral.
ACUCAAAUGAAUAGACGGGGACCCGCACAAGCAGCGGAGCAUGUGGUUUAAUUCGAAGAUACGCGAAAAACCUUACCAAGACUUGACAUCCCAGGCAUAGCCAUGAAAGUGGUGAAUUCCAGCAAUGGACCUGGUGACAGAUGGUGCAUGGUUGUCGUCAGCUCGUGUCGUGAGAUGUUCGGUUAAGUCCGAUAACGAGCGCAACCCUUGUUUUCAGUUGCCAGCAUUAAGUUGGGCACUCUGGAGAGACUGCCGUAGAUAAUACGGAGGAAGGUGGGGAUGACGUCAAAUCAUCAUGCCUCUUACGUCUUGGGCUACACACGUGCUACAAUGGUAGUGACAAAGAGUUGCAAAGCAGCAAUGCCUAGCCAAUCUCAAAAAAACUAUCUCAAUUCGGAUCGUGGGCUGCAACCCGCCCACGUGAAGUCGGAGUUGCUAGUAAUCCCAAAUCAGCAUGUUGGGGUGAAUGCGUUCCCGGGUCUUGUACACACCGCCCGU